GGGAACUAGUUUUUGGAAAGAAAUUCCAAAUUUUGAUCGCCUUUAGUGCUACCUCAUCAGUGUUUAUUCUCCUGAACGUGUGUCUCAUACUGCCCAGCUUUCCCACCCACUUUGCUCAAACCAUUGGAGAAGCUACUAAUUCCUCCUUCCACCCUUCUCCUCUCUUUCCCAACCUUCUCCCAUGCCCCGGGCAGAGCAGGAAACACACAGCCCAUUCCCUUAAGGGCCUGGAAGGGCUCUCUGCAGUGCGGUGCAGCCAUAGCCCCGGCCUAGCUGGAGACAAGGGCCUGGGGCAGUCCCACAAAUGGCAGCUCACCCACACCACCAUUUUGUCCUGGCAUCGGCCUCCUCGUCACCCGCUGUUGUGAGCGGCCUGCAGGCUUCUGUGUGCACACUGCUCAGCCAGGAUAUGCUUUAGGCCCUUAAAUGUCCAAUACCUCCUGACUUAUUUUUAUUUUGGUACUUCUUAAAAGGGGGCUGGUAGGCGCUCAUCUGACGCAGACGAACCAAUUCAUUUUCUAACAUUAACAGCAGUUCAGUCACACUGCACCUUACCAGGCCAAGGGGUUUGGGGGCAGCAUCUCUCAUGGCAGGCAGAGGUGACUUGCUUGGACCAGUCAGUGAGGUGCUGUGGCUGAGGGGGGAGAAACUCGGUGUAUAGAAACGUCACAGUACAGAUAUCCUAUAGUAGCUUUUCUGUGUUGAACUUACACGUUUUUUAAGAGAACUAUUAUAGAAGAUGUUACAUUGCUCAGAUGGUGUAAGUCUUGCUGGUGUAUGUUCUAUGUGGUGACACUUGCCAGAACUACUUGGUAAAACAUGUCAGAGCGUGCGAGUCAGCAUUAUACUGUAAAUUUGUCCACAGCGAUAUGUAUCAUGCUGUAUUUUUGUAAACAUUGUGACAGUUCCUUUCCAGUGUUUAAACACACAAGAUAAACAAUACAGAUGCUUCAUUUUUAACAGUCUCAGGACAGAAUUACUGGACUGGACAGACCUCUCUCACUUAGUAGCCUGAGGAUUCUCCUGGAAUAUCUUGUAAGUCUAGCUUUACUUUUAGUGUAAAAAGCAUAGCCAGUGUCCUGGUACCACUCACAGUCCUGCGCUCUCAUACUGUGCAAAAUAACCACGUGUAUAGUUUUGUCCUGAAAACCACUUCAGCGCUGGAAAUGGCUUUGCAGGUUUGGACCUUUCGUUUAUGAGCAAAAUCUUUCCCUCAGCCGCUUGCGUGCAGUCACCAGUACGUGACUAGCAGCCACAGACAGGCGUCAGAAGAGGGGAGCUCAUCUCUUUUUGGGUUUAGUCUUGUUUUUGAAAUAACGACAGCAUCUCCCUUGUUUUAACUGCUGUUGUGGCCACUUGACUCCUGACCCACCCAUCUCAUUUCAAAAACCCUUCACCACCACUCGCUCCAAUUACCUGAGUCACAAGGCAUUAUAAAUUCACACACAUCAAAGCAUCGAUGUAGCCGCAAGACGUUCGGUAUAACGCUCUGGAAGCUGAAAUAACAGAUAGCUGUAAGCCCUCGCACAGCGAGACAGCAGAAUUGACGCGCCGUGCUUUGCACAUCAGCACAUCCCUUCUGUGCUGGCUGCUCGCGGCAGGCUGGCAGCAGGAGGCUGCUAUCCGUCAUGUCACUCCCGCACGUCCCAGGAGGAUAGAUCCUUGUCUUAUCCCUCCGUGCUCUUUAAUCUUACUGUCAUUUAUGUAUCUGCCUUCUCUCAAACUUUGUGUAGCAGUACCGCACGCCCAUCUGUGCCAACAUGCCUUCGCUAUAUUUUCUAUGACAAAUAUUUGUGGAGAAACUGUGAUUAAAAAACCAUUAAUCCUGAUAUUUUUAUUGUUAUGGUGUAGUUAAUUCUAUGAAUACUUUCUAACGAUGAUUGUACUGUGUAGAGUAAGUACAGGUUAGGGAUAGACCUUUACCAGAUAUUGUACAAAAAAAGUGCAUAGUGUAAUAUAGACUAGUAAGGUUUUUGUGACAAUUUCUAUAGGAUGUGUGAAUUGUUUUCUAUGUGGCAACACACAUUUCUUUUAAAAAAUAUAAAAAACUUAGAGAAUUUUUUAAACAGUCAAUAUUUUUUAAUUAUAAAGACAUUUGUUACCUGCAGUUUACUAUUUCAGGCGUUAAUCCUAAUUUGAAUAUUGGUUUUAUUACUACAUACCUCCAGUUCCAUUUGUUCUGUUGCAUAACAAUGCACAAUAAAAGUUGGUCUCUGG
Gallus gallus (chicken) is the source of this 2217-nucleotide long non-coding RNA. The record is from Ensembl. NCBI's taxonomy places the organism in Eukaryota, Metazoa, Chordata, Aves, Galliformes, Phasianidae.